CAACUAAAUCAAAACAAGGAAGAAAACAGGGGUUCUGUUGAAUUUCAAGUAUUCAGUUUCACCAAUAAGAUACGGAGACUUGCUUCACAUUUGGAAUUACACAAAAAAGAUUUUUCAUCGGAAAGAGGUCUACGAAGACUUUUGGGAAAACGUCGACGUUUGCUGGCUUAUUUGGCAAAGAAAAAUAGAGUA
This 192-nucleotide ribosomal RNA is filed under the name Triticum aestivum (bread wheat). Its description in RNAcentral is "partial small subunit ribosomal RNA". Lineage: Eukaryota; Viridiplantae; Streptophyta; Magnoliopsida; Poales; Poaceae. The record is from RNAcentral.